Molecule: ribosomal RNA, 253 nt
Filed under: uncultured bacterium
Lineage: Bacteria
Description: partial 16S ribosomal RNA
Rfam family: Bacterial small subunit ribosomal RNA
Source: RNAcentral
GACGGGGGAUGCAAGUGUUAUCCGGAAUCACUGGGCGUAAAGCGUCUGCAGGUGGUUUCCUAAGUCCGCUGUUAAACCUUGAGGCUCAACCUCAAAUCUGCAUUGGAAACUAGGAGACUUGAGUAUAGUAGGGGUAGAGGGAAUUUCCAGUGGAGCGGUGAAAUGCGUAGAUAUUGGAAAGAACACCGAUGGCGAAGGCGCUCUCCUGGGCUAUUACUGACACUCAGAGACGAAAGCUAGGGGAGCAAACGGG